Molecule: ribosomal RNA, 767 nt
Filed under: Callome multipartita
Lineage: Eukaryota; Fungi; Ascomycota; Lecanoromycetes; Peltigerales; Collemataceae
Description: mitochondrial SSU rRNA
Rfam family: Bacterial small subunit ribosomal RNA
Source: RNAcentral
AAUAGCCUAACGGCUGAACCAGCAACUUGGAGGAAUGUAUAGCUAAGGCUAAAUGUAUUAUGUAAUAAUACAGAUUCGAUUUAUUCGUAUAAAGUUCUAGAUAGAAUUAUGAUAAUGACAUUGUCUAUCUAUAAGUCUUGACUAACAUACGUGCCAGCAGUCGCGGAAAGACGUAAAAGACUAGUGUUAUUCAUCUUUAAUAGGUUUAAAGCGUACCUAGACGGUAAAUCAAGCCUUAACCGGGACUAAUUUUACUAGAGUUAGAUGUAAGGGUGCAUUAAUGUACUGUUGAGUGUAGAGAUGAAAUUCUAUUAUACCAGAUUAUUGGCACGGGUUUAGGCGAAAGCAUCGCCUUAUGUAAUAACUGACGUUGAGGGACGAAGGCUUUGUAUCGCGAACAGGAUUAGGUACCCCAGUAGUCUAAGCAGAAAAUGAUGAGUGUCAUAGGUUAAAUAUUAUUUGGUCUAUAAAUGAAAGUGUAAGCAUUCCACCUCAAGAGUAAUUUGGCAACAUUGGAAUUGAAAUCAUUAGACCGUUUCUGAAACCAGUAGUGAAGUAUGUUGUUUAAUUAGACAGCCCACCAAGAACCUUACCACAACUUGAAUAUUUUACAAGCGUUGCACGGCUGUCUUCAGUUAAUGUCGUGAGAUUAUGGUUAGUUCCAUUAAAUUAACGUAAACCCUUACUUUAUUUUUAGAUAAAGUUGUUCGCCGCUAGAUUGGUUAGAUAAAAGGGACUAAGACAAGUCAUCAUGGCCUUGAUGUUGU